Long non-coding RNA from Ruditapes philippinarum (Manila clam), 713 nucleotides. RefSeq lists it as uncharacterized. Lineage: Eukaryota; Metazoa; Mollusca; Bivalvia; Venerida; Veneridae. The record is from RefSeq and is a predicted model, not a curated record. The transcript is spliced from 2 exons.
UUAAUUGACAAGGAUCGGACACUUCCGAUGGGGCUUUAAAUCGGGCCGCGCGCAUGCGCGAUAUCUUCUUACCGGAAGAAGAUGAAAUAAUGGCGUAGACCGAGGAUGUCAUGUGUAAACAUUUGAUAAUAAAACUCGGUUUUUGCUGUUGAUUGCGUUGUUUAUACAACUUUGGUACACACUAUUUGUCAAAUUAUUGAUCCUGGUACAGUCAUUUGGUGAUAUAUCAACAUACAAUCAUGACAAGAAAAAAAGGACAAAUUGGUAGAAGAAUGAAGCGAGAGAAACCACGGAAGCAACUGAACAUAAGCAACAUUUGUCAGCAGAUGUUCUGGCGGAAGACCUCUUAUCAAAAUCGCUUGGUGACACAUUCUUCGUUAAUGAUGGUACUACAGAAAGUUAUGAAACACCUCUAGAAAGAGUUGAGUGCUUUGACAGUGAUGGAUGUCAUGCUGACGAGUUUUUUUGUUAUUCUUGACAAGCCUUACAGAUAUUGUCCAGAUACUGAUCUUGAUGAGUUUGUGGAAAAUGAAUCAUUAAGGAUAUUUAGUGAAUUCCGUGAGAACUGUAAAAGGCAUAUAACAAAUGACAAUUUCACAUACAUGAAAUCUUCAAAUGACUUGAAAUUCAUACAUUUGUAUGAAUAAUUACAUAUAUAAUUGAAAGAAAUUAAAAAUGUGUUCAAGUAUGUAAAUAAAUGUUUUCAAAAAAUC